RNAcentral lists this transfer RNA (76 nucleotides) under Neisseria gonorrhoeae. RNAcentral describes it as "tRNA-Arg(tct)". It matches the Rfam family "tRNA". From Rfam's summary of the family: Transfer RNA (tRNA) molecules are approximately 80 nucleotides in length. Their secondary structure includes four short double-helical elements and three loops (D, anti-codon, and T loops). RNAcentral also lists the same sequence under 1 other name. Lineage: Bacteria; Pseudomonadati; Pseudomonadota; Betaproteobacteria; Neisseriales; Neisseriaceae. The record is from RNAcentral.
GCGCCCGUAGCUCAACCGGAUAGAGCACCGACCUUCUAAGUCGGGGUUACAGGUUCGAUUCCUGUCGGGCGUGCCA